GCAGGAGGAGGAGGGUUGAUGAAGAUAUGAUAAUUAGGUAGAGGAGAAGAAGAAGACGAAGAUGGUGAACUACUUGUUGUUGUUGUUGCUGUUGUAAUAGCAGUAGUGAAGUAAUGAGCGUUUAGGUAGUGCUGAUGAUCUUGGUUAAGGUCUAUGGAGAAAGGAGGGAAUUGGUGGGAGGAAUAUUGAUAAUUUGAAUUCAUCAUGAUCAUGGACAGUACAAAACAGAUCGGCCAAUAGAAU
Molecule: long non-coding RNA, 243 nt
Filed under: Linum usitatissimum (flax)
Lineage: Eukaryota; Viridiplantae; Streptophyta; Magnoliopsida; Malpighiales; Linaceae
Description: long non-coding RNA (LUSI_LNC000491)
Source: RNAcentral